CAAUAGCGUAUAUUAAAGUUGUUGCGGUUAAAAAGCUCGUAGUUGGAUUUCUGCCGAGGACGUCCGGUCCGCCCUCUGGGUGAGUACAUGGCACGGCCUGGGCAUCUUCUUGGGGAACGUAUCUGCACUUGACUGUGUGGUGCGGUAUCCAGGACUUUUACUUUGAGGAAAUUAGAGUGUUUCAAGCAGGCACACGCCUUGAAUACAUUAGCAUGGAAUAAUAAGAUAGGACCUCGGUUCUAUUUUGUUGGUUUCUAGAGCUGAGGUAAUGAUUAAUAGGGACAGUUGGGGGCAUUCGUAUUUAACUUUCAGAGGUGAAAUUCUUGGAUUUGUUAAAGACGGACUACUGCGAAAGCAUUUGCCAAGGAUGUUUUCAUUGA
RNAcentral lists this ribosomal RNA (380 nucleotides) under uncultured eukaryote. Its description in RNAcentral is "partial 18S ribosomal RNA". It matches the Rfam family "Eukaryotic small subunit ribosomal RNA", at positions 592 to 976 of the family's 1831-position model. The record is from RNAcentral.